UGGGGAAUCUUGCACAAUGGGGGAAACCCUGAUGCAGCGACGCCGCGUGAGCGAUGAAGCCCUUCGGGGUGUAAAGCUCUUUCGGCAGGAACGAUAAUGACGGUACCUGCAGAAGAAGCUGCGGCUAACUACGUGCCAGCAGCCGCGGUAAUACGUAGGCAGCGAGCGUUGUUCGGAGUUACUGGGCGUAAAGAGUGCGUAGGCGGUUACGCAAGUUCGGUGUGAAAUCUCCCGGCUCAACUGGGAGGGUGCGCCGGAAACUGCGGAGCUAGAGUGCGGGAGAGGAGAGCGGAAUUCCUGGUGUAGCGGUGAAAUGCGUAGAUAUCAGGAGGAACACCGGCGGUGUAGACGGCUCUCUGGACCGUGACUGACGCUGAGGCACGAAAGCGUGGGGAGCAAACAGG
Molecule: ribosomal RNA, 404 nt
Filed under: uncultured prokaryote
Also listed under: 1 other name
Description: bacterial SSU rRNA
Rfam family: Bacterial small subunit ribosomal RNA
Source: RNAcentral